Molecule: non-coding RNA, 7227 nt
Organism: Peromyscus maniculatus bairdii (prairie deer mouse)
Lineage: Eukaryota; Metazoa; Chordata; Mammalia; Rodentia; Cricetidae
Source: RefSeq, a predicted model, not a curated record
UUAAGGUUGGGGUCAUCACAACAUGAGAAACUAGGAAGGCUGAGAAGCACUGUACCAGAACAAUGUCUGCUGCACAGGGGGAGUUAAUAGUUAGGUUUUGGUUGGUGUGCUAAGGAGACACCUUGCUGAGUUCCUCAACUUCCAAGUUCUAGGGGCUGCUUUUGAAAGAUGUCAGCACCUGGCCAUAGAAAAUGAGGUUCUGAGAUCUUUAACCCAGUGAGUUAAUGCAAUGUGGAAAAGUGUAGUGGAAGCUACACUGGGUCAUGGAGAAAAAAAAUUCUGUGAGAGGAAAUAAAUGAUUCAGUUUUCCAAAUUCAGCACUGAUCCUGAGUGAAGAUGGUUCUGCAAGAACGUGAGACAGAACCUGAAGGCAUUUUGUACCCCUGGGUGUGUCUCUGGGCCUCUAUUCUGUGCCAUUCAAAAUGUGUCACCCAACUGUCAUUUUUAAAAAUUCUCUUUAUUUUUUGAGAUUAUAAUAUAAUUACACCAUUUCUACCUUUCUUGCCACCCGUCCCAAUCCUCCUACACACCCCUUCUUGCCCUCUUUCAAAUUCACGACCUCUUUUUUUUUCAUUAAUUGUUGUUACAUGUAUAUGUAUAUGCUUGUAUAUACGUAUAUAUUCCUAGACAUAACCUUCCAAUUUAUAUAGUGUUACUUGUAUGUAUGUUUUCAGGGCUACUUUUUGGUACUGGAAAACCAGUUGGUGUGCUCUUCCAUGGAAAAGAAUAUUUCUGGGGAAUGCCAUUAUUUUCUUGUAUUCUUACUUUUGACUCUUGAGAUAACAUUCCAGGACCCGGGCACAAGGGAGUGACUUGCAGGUGAAGAGGCCAGUGUACUGUCCCUAAACAUAAACCAGAAAGGCUUUGAAUGAUUCUGUUUCCUUGGUGGUGCCCACCAGCACCACAGAAGAUGCUCUUCAGGAGGAGUGACAGUCCAUGAACCUGCAUCCCCUCUGACAGCAGCCUUUAGGAGUAUCCGCCACCGCAGCUGGAAUCAGGAGCACUUCUGCAACCAGACCAAGGCAGCAGCCCUCACUACUCACGAUUUUCACUGAAGCCAGUCACUCCAAGAGUUGGGAUAGGCAGUACUGCAGUGGUAAUAGCUUACAGGCACACAUAGGUCAUGCUAUUUAAUAUUUCUAGUUUAUGGAUCAGGAGACUUUGAGGCAUGGAGGCCAGGCCAUCUGCAGUUGCACAGUAGUGGAAAGUAGGUUCUAGGAUUUGAAUUCAAGCAUACUGUCUCCAUGGGGAAGAGUUCUUCAUUUGUCAUUUAUUAAAAUUAAUUCUAAGCUAAAUUUAAUUGUUAAGGAAGUCUUUUUGAUAACAGAAAUAGAAAGGCACAAAGGCACAUGCUGUAUAAAAAAUCUGCAGGAUUUUAAAGUUAUGUGUUCCUGGAUUUGAAUCUCAACUCUCACACAUUAUGUGAAUUUUCUGAUGACUGCUAACUGCUCAGAAGAAUGACAAGGACGUGGACUACUUUAUGAGUAUUAAAUAAGUCCUACCCAUUGGACAUCUGAUCAGUGAGAUGUGGCUCUAGAUGCUCAGCAUGCUGAUAUGAGUAACACUCACUAAAAUUUUACAGUCCAGAGCAAAAGCAGGUGGUGCCCAGCAAGAUAAAGAAAUGGAGAAUGUGUGGCAUCAGGGUCCUAAUCCACAUGUUAGUUAGAACCUUGCAGGCAGCACUUUGCUUGCUUGCUUACUGUAGAGAUUGGCUCAUGUAAUUGCAGGGCCUGAGAAGUCUGUACUCAGCCAAACUGGAGAUGUAGAAGAGAGGGUGGUGUGGUUUCACCGGAAGCCCAAAGUCCUGAGAACAGUGGGUCUCAUGGUGUGAGCUCCAGUCUGUGUCUGAGCCCCAUGUUCCAGCUUCAGACACUGUCCCAGAAAUCCUGUCUUAUCCCUCUCUCCUGAUCACUCUGCAUGGAGUCCCAUUGCAUGGAAGAGAGAAAUCUACACUGGUCAUGAGAAUAAAUACUACUUACUGCCAAGCAAGAACUCUCUGGGACACAGAGCAUGGAUGAUUCCCCUGCCUUCUAUGUCAAAGGAAAGAAUUGCUGAUUCCUGUUGAGGGGGAGGUGACUUCUGUGGUUUGUUUAUAAUUGUUCAGCAUAGUUCCACCCCAAAAAGAAUGCUUUCUGGUGUUUUAAAACCUCAAAUUGCUUUUUACUUAUGAAGAGAAUUUACAGUGAGUUAUGCUAUAAUGUAAUCUAACCUGCUGAGACAUACCACAUUGGACAUUCCCAGACACAUCUUUGCUCCCUUGAGGGGAAGCUGUGAAGGUAGACUGGUAAUCGCUGUAACAGGAUCAGCAUGGGGGAGAUUGAUCACACCUAGGAAAGUGACCUCUUCUAGGAACUUUGCAAAAGGCACACCUUUCCUGUUGAUUGAUUACACAUCAGGGUGACCAGCCCUGGCUGAGAGGCUCAGUGUGUUACUCACCUUCUGCUGGCACAUGCACUUUUUUGUUGUUGUUGGUGUUCAUGCAAGAUUGAUGUGGAGCAGCUGUAGUUGGAAGGGCCCAGAAAUUCAUACCAUGAAAACGCAGCUAGCUUUGAAAGGAAAAAGGAAAAGAGAUUUAUUAUCCACAAACACAAUUACAAUAAGCUCCAUUUAAAAUGAUGAUUAAAGUUUUAUACAUCUAUAGAGAGUGGUCCUCUUGCUGAGAAAGGGAGCAAGAGUGCAUUCACGAAAGAAAGUCUGCUUCCUUCUACAUCCUGAGUACACAGCUCCAAAUCUGUGUCAAUGGCCAGUCUUGACUCACCAAUUCUCAUUCCAGAUCACAGCUCCCAUUUUACUAUGGAAAGUCUGUUUACUAAGGCCGCCUCUAUCUUGUACUCCACAUUGUGUCUCCCUCUGUAACUAUCCGCAGAUCUGACCCUGAAGUCGUCACGUCUAAUCCAUUUCCUCGUCUCCUUCUCUCUGUCAGCCCCUUUCCUGCUCCCAAACAAUUUGUUGUUCUUUUUCUCAGAUCCUUUGUUUUGCUAUCCAACACCUCAUCCAUGUGAAAACCUUCAACUUUAGAUCAGUCUGACACCACUUUCUUUCCCUCCUCUCUGCUUAGGAGCUGAGCAUUAAAACUAAAAAUCAAACAAACAUAUACCAGAUUUCCAUUCUGGAAAUUAGCGUGAUUUGCCUGUCAUCAGGAGCAAUGAACUCCAUGCUUCCCAAGCUUCAGGGAGUGGUGCCAUCUAACUCCCCACCUAUGGAUUUCUCAUCACCCGUGUUGGAUAGUUUUAUGUCAACUUGACACAGCUAGAAUUAUUUGUAAGAAGGAAACCUCAAUUAAGAAAACGCCUCCAUAAGAUCCAGCUGUUAGAUCAAGUUCAGGCUGCCAUGAUAAAGUACCAUACAUGGAGUGGCUUAAACAACAAAACCUUUGUUCAGUGUGUGAAGUUCAAGGUUAUGGCAGAAUGUGCUGGGGGAAGGCUUUCUCCAGGCUUGUAGAUGGCUACUAUGUACCCCUCCCCCACCCAUGGUCUUUUUUCUAAACACAUGCACUUUUCCUCCUCCUGGAACAUCAUCUCUAGGUAAAAGCGCUACCUUCAUGAUCUCACUUAAUCUAAUAACCUCCUAGUGAUGGCGCCACCAAAGACAGUGGCACAGAGAGACUGGAACUUCAACAUGUCCGCUAAGGGGCAGAGAGUCCAGUCCUCAGCAGAUCCUAAGUUGAACCAAACAGUUGAGAUUAAGUUCCAAAUUCAAUUAAAGCAAAUACUUUACAAAGCAAUAUUACUUCUGAAAUGAGAGAGAAUAAGUUACAUGUGAAGGUGGAGAUGCCCCAUGUGGUUGGUUCUUCAAGGAAGGCCCAGCUGCUGAGCGAUGCUUGAAGAUGGACUUAGUUUAGCAUCAGUGCUUUUUCUGCUGAAAGCUUCUUGCUUAGGGAUACUCAGUUCCUAGGGCGGUCAAAGUUCAGAAGCACAAGAGAUGGCUAUUUGGAGAUGGCAUAUGAUGGCUCCAGAGGAUUCCCAGUGGGUUUAUGACCUCAUCUCAGCAUCUGCUUUCUAAAGAAUUUAGCCUGCAACUGGUUUAAUCUAGUGUCACAUGACUCAUUGUCACAUAAUUAUAAAGGGUGAUCAAAAAACGAAAGAAUACAACCAGUUUUGCAUCUUCAAAAACACGAGUGCUGCAGCCUGACUCAUUGGAUUUAUCAUUGUUUCCAAGAAUGUCUACAUUUUUAGUGUAAAAACUCACAAUCAAAAUUUUAUAAAAUUUACAUGUGUACAUAGCCAUUUGUUUACAUGCUCUGAUUAAUAUUAACUUGUUUCUUACUCACUAGUGCAUAGUUGCAUGGUAUGUAGACAGUUUCCAUAUUCCUUUUAUUCUCCUCACUACUUUUUCAGCUUUGUCAAUGUUAACUUGACUGAUACAAAUUUGUGUAUAUUCAGUGUAUACUACUUCAUGUUCUGCUUCAUGUAUAUGUGUGUAAGGAUGAUCAUGUAGAUUUAUAUCCCACCAUUUCAUGUCAUAACUUGUUUAUUUGUGAGUGAUGAGGAUAUUUAAGAUCAACUCCCCAGCCAAAUUCAAGCACACAACAUAUUUCUACUAACUCUACACAGCAAAUUGUCAUAGGUCUGCAUUAGUUAUCCAUCCUGCAACUGACAGCAUGGGUCCUUUGAUUACCACUUCUGUACUGUCCCCUAGUCCCAGAUCCUGUACCUUCUGUUGUCUUUACUUUGGCUUCUUCAGAUCUUUCACAUAAGUGAGAUCACACAGUGUAUACCUUUCUGCUCAUUUCCACUCAUCAUUAGCACCUUCUGGGUUCAUCCACAUUGUCACAAAUAACAACCUUUCUUUUUCUUUUCUAAGGCUAAAAGAUAUUCUAUUGCAUACACACAUAUUUACUUGUGAUAGUUCUUUUAUCAAUUUACUCAUCGACUGACAUUUUGUCUUUCUCUACUUUUGUGAACAAUAUUACAAUGAGCAUGGUGGUGGAACUACUUCUUUGAGGUAAUAGUCUUAUUCCUUUGGACAGACAUACACAGGAUUGAGAUUGCAAGAUAAUGUGGUAUUUCUGUUUUCCAGUAUUUGAGGAAUUUCUCUAUUGAAAGCAUAUAUUGGCAUUCAUCGCACACAUCCUUAGUCUUUGGGGGCAGUUUAAUAUUGCCCUUUAUACUCUUCCCUAGGUUCAUUUGUCUUCUAUGAAAUUACCCAUUCUUUAAAGUCUGAGACAAAUUGUUUUGCAGAAUGGAAUUCAAUUCAGAUUUGUUUCUGGUUAUUUCUUCAUAUUUAGUUAGUAUUAAUAGAUAGCACUGUGUCUCUUUGACAAUGGUAAUGACUAGUAGGUCUUUCCACAAUAAAGGUUCUUUUACAUGAAGCAGGUUUUGAUGAAGAUUUACAAAGAUGGAAGCUCUUUCUCUCCUAUCUGAAGAAGUUCUUUGCUUUAUCUCUGUUUACCAUCAUCUCCUGACAUGUGAUGGGGACCUUAUCAGAAGAUCUGGGGUCAAUGAACUUAUAAAUGGGCAUCCAUCCCCAAUGGAAAUGCUUAUUCUUAAAAGUAAAAGUUUGUCCUUAUCUUUAUAUUGUGGCUGUUUUUCAUCUGAUGACAUGCAGUCUGACUUAAAAUACUUGGACCUUUUCACCCAUGGAUUUGAGCAUGUCUGACCUCUUGCAAACUGUGAUAUUGCUUGCAUCUGUACGUGUCCUCCACAGUAUUUAGGAAGUCAAAGGUCAGAUGGGCAUCCACAUCACAUAGAUCCUUUGUGUCCCUAGAGAUCUGUGAAGCAAACCUUAGGAGAUGAGAGGCAACACAAUGCAGAUCACACCUAUGGCCUGCACUAAGCUGGGGCUAUAAGGAUACUGCAGAUGGUUGGCACUGAUAGAAGAGAUGGAAAGAAAAGACACACAUGGUAUAUGUGGACCUCGAGCUCCUGGCCAUCCCAUCCCAAUGAGAGUAGACUAUUUCCUUUUUAAAAUUUUAUUAAGUUUUUCAUUUAUUUUACAUCCAAAUCACAGUUUCUCCUUCCUCUUCUCCUCCUAUUCCCACCCCUGCCUCUCCUCUGCCCCAUCAAUUCGCCCCUCUGUUUCUGUUCUGAAACAGGCAGGCCUCCAAUGGAUGUCAAAAAAGCAUGGCAUAUUAAGCUGAGGUGGAACGAAGCUCCUUCCUUUGUAUUAAGGCUGGGUGAAACAACCCAGUAUGAGGAAUAGGUUCCCAAAUGCCAGUCAAAGCAUUAGAGAAAGGCCCUGAUCCCACAGCUAUGAGUCUGGCAGACAGACCAAGCUACACAACUGUCACACAUAUGUAGAAGACCUAGGUCUGUCCCAUGCAGCCUCCAUAGCUGUUGGUCUAGAGUCUAUGAGUUCCUAUUAGUUCAGGUGAGUUGUUUCUGUGGGUUCCCCUGUCAUGACCUUGACAUCCCUGGCUCAUACCGAAGCUCUAGUCAGUACUUGACUGUGGAUCUCUGCAUCUGUUUCUAUCAGUUACUGGAUGAAGGCUCUCUGAUUGCAAUUAGAGUAGUCACCAAUCAGAUUACCAGAGAUGGCCAUUUAAGUCACCUUCUCCAUUUUUGCUAGGAGAGACUGAAUUGGACUCAGUCAUUUUGGGAUUUAAAGUUCUGACUCCUUCCUUUUUAUUGCUAUUUAAAGCUGGACAUAAUACUUACUAAUUCAGAGACUCCUUUCCUCAUCCCCUAGACAAGGAUAACAGCACCCACACUGUGUGGUUGGAGUACAUGCUCUAUUCCUUGUUCUAGUAAAUAUCAAACAUGAACCAGUACUAAACUAUGGUGUUUGCAAUGUACAGAUACUAUUCACAUCACAUCACAUUUAAAUCUUGCAAAAUCUAUAGUGAUGUAGUCAUCACAUUUAAGUCUUGCAAAAACUACAGUGGUAAGUGGAUUAGUGAUAUUAGCAGAUUGCCAAAUCUUGUGUGUACAGAGGAUCAGCUCUGACACUCAUCCUGUUCAUUAAACUCCCAAGAAUUAACUGAGUCAUGGCAUAGUGUCAUCUUCCUGCAGGAAGUUGUUUACUAUCCCUGAAGUAGAUAAAUGAUUACACACUUUAUGCAAAUGCUGACAUCACUGAAAGGAAACCAUCAACUCCAAAUCAAAGAAAAACAAACCAUUAAAUGGAAUUGUAAGAAACAAUAUUUCUUAGAUGUAAACAUAUCAAUACUGUAUCAUAGAGGACAUGGUUUAAAUAGGAUAAGUAAUGAAAAAUUUUUUGUCUGAAUCUGUCAAAUGUUAAUGGACUAGACAUUGUUAAUGUAAUUCUUGACCAUAUAUAUAUAUAUAU